RNAcentral lists this long non-coding RNA (349 nucleotides) under Hordeum vulgare. RNAcentral's name for it is "long non-coding RNA (HVUL_LNC010363)". The record is from RNAcentral. Lineage: Eukaryota; Viridiplantae; Streptophyta; Magnoliopsida; Poales; Poaceae.
AUAUUUCUCGCCUUCUCACCACUCUGCCUCAUCUAUGUUGCCACCGUUGAGCUCCUACACACGGCAACCGGCACAGUCCACCCCGUCGUCUCCAGCCUCGUGUAUGACGCCAUCGACGAGCUUCUACACAUGACGUCCGACGCGGUCCAUCCCGUCGUCUCUUGUCUAGUGUACGACGCUGCCGUUGAGCCCUCAUGCACAGCCGCUCGUCGUCAUCCCCGACUUCGUCUGGGAUGCCUCCGCGGUUGAGGCGCCGACACGACGCGAUGCAGGCACGAAUUUCUCCUUCCUUGGGCGUUGGUCGCCUGUGAGGUCUCCGUGGCCAAAGCACGCAGCAACGACGCCCUAC